CAUAAGUUCGAGAGAAGAAAGGGGCAAGUCGCCGGGAGAGGAGUCCGCGGUCGAUUAGUUAGUUGGCAGGGUAAAGGCCUACCAAGACAAAGAUCGAUAGCCGGCCUGAGAGGGCACACGGCCACACUGGCACUGAAACACGGGCCAGACUCCUACGGGAGGCAGCAGUGGGGAAUCUUGCACAAUGGGGGAAACCCUGAUGCAGCGACGCCGCGUGAGCGAUGAAGCCCUUCGGGGUGUAAAGCUCUUUCGGCAGGAACGAUAAUGACGGUACCUGCAGAAGAAGCUGCGGCUAACUACGUGCCAGUAGCCGCGGUAAUACGUAGGCAGCAAGCGUUGUUCGGAAUUACUGGGCGUAAAGAGUGUGUAGGUGGUGUCGUAAGUUUGGUGUGAAAUCUCCCGGCUUAACUGGGAGGGUGCGCCGAAGACUGCGAUGCUUGAGUAUGGGAGAGGAAAGCGGAAUUCCUGGUGUAGCGGUGAAAUGCGUAUAUAUCUGGAGGAACACCUGCGGUGUAGACGGCUUUCUGGACCAUUACUGACACUGAGACACGAAAGCGUGGGUAGCAAACAGGAUUAGAUACCCUGGUAGUCCACGCCCUAAACGAU
Molecule: ribosomal RNA, 606 nt
Filed under: uncultured Acidobacteriota bacterium
Lineage: Bacteria; Pseudomonadati; Acidobacteriota
Description: bacterial SSU rRNA
Rfam family: Bacterial small subunit ribosomal RNA
Source: RNAcentral